Peromyscus californicus insignis is the source of this 6023-nucleotide long non-coding RNA. RefSeq lists it as uncharacterized. The transcript is spliced from 3 exons. NCBI's taxonomy places the organism in Eukaryota, Metazoa, Chordata, Mammalia, Rodentia, Cricetidae. The record is from RefSeq and is a predicted model, not a curated record.
CUAGGGGGCAAGUCUCCCUGGGUUCCAAGAAGCUGUUGCUCCUUGAAUUCACGAUCUGAGGAAGGUCGGGUUAAAAAGGGUUAAAAAUUCAUAUGUGGCUUUAUUAAAAUCAAGCACAAGAAAGGAGUGUCUUGGUUAGCACAUUUUUUGAGGAAAGAAAAAGCAGCGAAACAAGAGAAAUCAGAAGCUAGCCUUCUACCAUCUGCCGCGGAUGGGAGCUCAUUAGCGUCUUCCCGGAGGCUGAUUGUAGCCGCCAGCACCGCCACCUAAUGAAGGAGCCGCCACGCCCAGUGCCAACCUGAGCCUGCUCUGCGGCUCGCCUUGAUGGCUCGCUGCUGAUUCCUCCUUCAGACUAAAGAAUCUCAAGCCAGACAGAAGCUCCUGUGAGGCACUGAGAGAGUUAGCAUUUCCUAAGGCGUCUGCUCCAGGCUUUGAGAACAAUGGAGACUCUGGCCCAGCUAGCCGAGAAUAACACUUCAAACCCACAUUUGCUGCUGGAUCUGGGCCUCCUGGGCCUGCUCCCUCUACCCUAAUCAAAAGCUGCAUGCUGUGGAGCUUAGAAAAGCUGGGCUGUCAGAUCUGAGGUGUAGGAAGAGCAUAGCCUCCCUCCUACCUUGCUUCCUUUAAGGCAAGUAGGUCAUGCAAGAAUGUCCUCACACGGCUCCAGUCCCGUGGCUGGCUGAAGGACUUUGUGCUUUUGGAUCAGAAUAUCACAGGGCUGGGGAAGGACCCAGGAGAGAGUCUCUGAACAAAGAAAAGGCACCAAAAAGCCCAGUUCUGCAUUCUUGGUGACUACUGCGGCUUCCUCCCCUGAAGUGGCCAGCAACUUAGUCCCUGCCGAAGCGCUCAACUAUUGACCACACUUGGUCACAAACCCAGCUUGUGGUGGACACAUCAUCACCCCUCGUCUACAACCUAUAAAACCUCCCUGCUUUAGUUUGGGGGUGGGACUUCUCUGGCCUCCAUCUUUGGGACCAGAGAACCUGCCCAGGAGUUGCUUUCAAUAAACCUGUUGUUAUACUUUUUCAAUUCAGCUUGAUCUGGCUUGUUGUGUCAGUGGAGAAACUUACUAUCAGGAGGCAGAAAACCUAUUAAAAAUAUAUAAUUAUAUCAUAUAAUAUAAUUAGUAUGAUAAAUUAAAUAUAAAAAUACAUUUAAAAUUUUUUCAUUAAAUUUAUUAAUUUUAUUAAAUUUUACAAAUUUAAUAAAACUAAGUUUUUAUUCACUUUGCAAUUAAUCCCUCAUUGUAGCUUGUCAGAUCCGCCUCCACGAUGUGCCCUCUGUGCAGGUCAUCUUUGUGGUCCCCACAGCCUAGGCUGCCAUCAGCUUGCAGUCCUUAGCCCGAAUCACCAAUGGAUCUUUUUGCCUCUGCCCUCACUUCCUGGCUAAUCUAUCGUUCUCACCUCUGCUUAAAAUCCUCCACGAUGGGCUGGGGAGAUGACUCAUAAGAUACCCGCCAUGCAAGGACGGGAAUCAGAGCUCAGGACCCCAGCACCCAAGUACAACUGGACGGAGUCGGAGAGGCUGCACUCCCAGUGCUCCUGUGAGGAGAUGGACAGGAGAGACAAGAGAGGUAAUUCCCUAAGGCUCAAGGGCCAGCAGUGGGGGACAGCUAGAGACCCACGCCAAUCGUGCAAGUCGAGGCCCAACACCAGAGAGAGGUUAACCUCUUACCUCUGGUAGCGAGCACAUACCCCGGUUACGGGGGAGGAAUAAUCACUCUUGAUUCAGACUUGAUAUAACAUUUAUUCACACAGUAAGAUUACAAGCAAUAUUUAUCCCGUCUUCCAAAUGGAGGCGGGAGUACCUCUCCGGGUAUACAGGUCCGGACUCGCCACAUCUGUUCCUCUGGAUCUUGGGUCAGCCUUCCUCAGGUCAGCCAUGUCUGCACUGGGGACAGGAUCUCACGUCUCUGGCAGAGGAGAGUCGUCUCAUGAGAGGGCCUGACGAGCUCUGUUGGUCGGGUCUGAGGCUUCAUCUUUUAUAUCCCUUUCUGGCUAGGUUUCUAGUCCUAUCCCUACUUCCACACAUAGCUUAUAGGUUAUCACUACUCCAUUUGUGGUUUUCUUACGUCAUUCUAUUGCUUAUCACUCCUGACCAGGGCUGUUCACCCUAGGUCUUACAUGUUCCUUACACCUCUAUAGCUACAUUGUGUGCCUGUGUUCAUAUAUACACACCAACACACACACACACACACACACACACACACACACACACACACACACACACACACAGAGAGAGAGAGAAAGAGGGGGGGGGGCUUAAAGCAAACCUCCCUCUUCCCUGCCUCCCACCACAACUCCAGGGAAGACCCAGGCCGCUUUCUAUACAGUCCUACUUGGCCUUUGACCUUCGUCUCCUCAUCCAGGCUCUCCCAGCUGCCUCACCUCUUUGUCCCAGGACAGAGCAUCUUAUGUCUCAUUCCCCGCGGGGUCUCCAGAGCCUAGAAUAGGGCCCGGUACAUGGAAAACCGCAGACUCUCUGCAUCUGUUCUUUAGUUCAGUGACUGACUGUGCCAGCCUCGUGCCCCUUUCUCUCCCCAGACCGCCAGGCUUCGGCUUCUGUUGGCGGACCUCCUGUUCCAGCACUCUCCUCCAGCUGUGCACAGCCACGCCUUGCUGGCCUUUCAGGUGCUCACUCAGCUGUUAGUCCCCAGGGAGGCCCCCCUUCCCGACAGCGACGGCAGAAGCACCCCCGGCCCCAUGCUCCUCUACGAGGCUCUAGAUUCCACAGUACGACCGCACACAUCUGAAGGAGGUCGGGCACACGAAUGCAGGCAGUGGCCUGGUGACAGCAGCCAAGGCCAUCAAGAAGAGACCAGACAUGCACCGAUGUGCUCUUUUCCAUUUGUACAUCGAAAAGCCACCCAGCAAGAAGAGCUUCUGUGCUGAUUGCCCAGGUUGGAUGACGCUCAUGGGCAGUAUGUUGAUCAAAGGUAGCCGCUCUCAGAAAGAGGACACACUGCGUGAGUCUAUCUAUAUGAAAUUCAGAAUAAAGCGAACCAGUCCUAGGUGUGCCCAGUGCCCUUCCCGGAGCUACUCAUGGCCUAAGGGUUUCUCCAUGUGGUUUUGGUGCCUGUCCUGGAUCUCGCUCUGUAGACCAGGCUGGCCUCGAACUCAGAGAUCUGCCUGGCUCUGCCUCCCGAGUGCAGGGAUUAAAGGCGUGCACCACCACUGCUGCUGGGUGAUAAAUCUUUUCUUAAGCCAUAAGUCCUGGUCCUCAGGGUUGCACUGGCCAAGGGCGUUCCUCCAUCCAGUGGUAGGAGACGAACCUUGGGGGCCCUUUUCACUUCAUCUAAGACCAUGGCAAGAGCACACAAAACAGGAAGAGGCCUGUGAGGUAUGUAUGUAUUGAAUAGCCCGAAGAUCAAUCAAAGCUCCCGAGGCAACACACAGAAGGACAAAGGCCUUCUUCAGCCCUCGCCCGGAAGCAGCUCUGCAGCCAUGUCCCAUGUCAUUCAUCUGUCUUGUUGCAACAAUGACUUUAGCUGGUUGGAAAACAUGAAGAUUAAAAUGAACUACUCAGUGUAAAGCCAGGACUUGGUGAAACCUACAGUUAUCCAAAUUAGAAAAAAAUGUGUAAUGACAGGGCCAUAGGAAUGGGCUAUGUUGGGGAGGGGGGGCUCUGGGGGCUGCAGACACGCACCGAGGAGCUGUUUGGGGAUGCUGUUCAUUAAGUCACUCGUGUGUGGUACUUACAAUGUGUGCUCUCCUCAGAUAUCCCUCCUUCAAACUGAUGGAGAAAAGAGUUGAUAGAAGUUGGAAAUGUCUCUUCUUGUUCUUAGCAUCUAGUUUCCAGAGGAGAACCUGCAGGUGUGAUUCAGGAGUGGGUGAGGACCACCGAGGAAUCCUUGUGUACUGCCAGUCAUUUUUUUCCCUUUCUUUUUGUUUUGUUUUGUUUGUUUUUGAGGCAGGGUUUCUCUGUGUAACAGCCCUGGCUGCCCUGGAACUCACACUAUAGACCAGGCUGGCCUUGAACCCACAGAGACCUGCCUGCCUCUGCCUCCUGAGUGCUGAGAUUAAAGGUGUGCACCACCACUGCCUGGCUCUUUUGUUUGUUUAGUUGGUUAGCUAAAAAAAUGAUGGGUUCUGCAAGCAUUUCCUCAACCCAAAGAUAGCCAAGUAAAGGAGAUGAGAGAAGGUGAAAGUAUGAAAAAAUGGAAACUUGGAUUUCAGUUUGUAUUUGAAAUGCUAAGUAUGUGCACACCUGGAGGAAACACCAUCCUUGGAAGAUGUCCCUGAGUGUCAAGAGUUAACACACAAGAUGGGUUUCUGUGGGCAUGACAGGGCUUCAGGAUAAACUUCAGAGAAUCUGCAGCUCCAUCUGGGCUGCUAAGAGACAUCUCCUGGCAUCAUCCUGGCAGAUCACCUCACCACCAGCAGAGGUUGAAGGACUAGAAGCUAAGAGAUCAAAUCUUAACAGACAGGAGAUGGUUGGAGCAGUGAUGCUGACCAUGAACUGCCAACCGAGGUGAAGUGUGAGUGGUCUUCUGUCAGGUGAAUGAUGCCAGCGGCUUUCUCCAGGCUACCCUGGGUCCAAGAGCAAGCAGGUUUGUUCCUCAGCCAUGUGAUGGGCUAACAAGGCAGAGUUACGGAUGCCCGAUGGCUGGAGAAGGAAGUGGAUGCCCGGAUGGCUGGAAAAGGAAGCGGUGUCUGAGGCUAAGGAGGAGCUUUGGGUAGAAAGAAAGGAAACAGAGAUAAGAGGUCAUGAGAGACCCCACUGUGGUGCUUCCCGUCCCCCCUCAGCUUCAUGGAGUCCCCUGGGGGCCUGAGGUCAUGUGGUGCUCAGGGCUCCAAAAAGCUCUGAUGGAGUGUCUGCUGGGUGGGCUGGGCCUCUCAGGAGCCCUUAAAGGAUGGUCAAGGACCUGAGCCACUUGGCUAGGCAGGAAGUAUAGGAGGGACAAGGAGGAGAAUAAAGCUGGGUAGUGGAAGGCUGAGUCGGAGAGACACUGCCAGCAGCUAUGAUGAGAAACAGCAUGUGAAGAUGCCGGUAAGCCACGAGCCAUGUGGCAAGGUAUAGAUUAAUGGAAAUGGAUUAAUUUAAGCUGUAAGAACAGUUAGCAAGAAGCCUGCCACGGCCAUACAGUUUGUAAGCAAUAUAAGUCUCUGUGUUUACUUGGUCGGGUCUGAGCGGCUGUGGGACUGGCGGGUGAGAGAGAUUUGUCCUGACUAUGGGCCAGGCAGGAAAACUCAAGCUACACCAGGACUCUAUCAGUCCUCAAGGCUUACUUCUAGCAACAAUCCCUGAUUCAAUGACCCAUCCGGACAUGAUCAGUCAUCAGCUAUUUCCUUUGUUGCUGUCCUUUUAAUUUGUAUUGAAUUCCUGCCAUUUUCUGCCAAAAGAAAUCUAUUAAACACAAAAGCCGUUCUGCCGAUAUCUCCAGCCCCAGUCCAGCCCCGGUGAUCUUCCAGCACUGUUGGAAGUUCCAGCACUGUUUCUGCUACCUCAUUAAAGUCCUCCUGCUCGGCAGAAGUGACCAGCCACAGAGCACACACCUGAGGGGAGCAAGCCCCUGUCUCUUCCAUAAAAAGACAGAAAGUAAUUACUUGUGCUAGAUUAUACUAUCUAGAGAUUUCAUUUCUCUGUAGUGAAGAGAAAGGAGACUUUUGCAUUAGAAGCAGUUGAGACAGUGAGGCGGCACAUGUCGACAGGUCCAGUUUCUCAGGAGGGUGGCAGAGGAGGGCUGCCCGAGCCCGGGAGUCUUAUCCAGGAUGAAGAAAGCAGCGUGACCCUCUGCCAGAGUGUAUUAACUACUGAGGAAAAGAUUGGCAAUAAGCCAGACAGAAAUUGUUACUGUGUGGUGCAAAGGUCUACCUUUUUGGGCUGAGAACAGAACCCACCUCCUGAUGCCUGCGCCUGGGUGGAGGAGAACAAGUACUAGGACACAGUUGUUGCUACACCAUCCACAGGCAGAAGAGAGAUUCUGGAUUCAGCAGGGACAGCUCUCCAGACUGGCACCUCAGAUCCAUGAUGGUGAGCUCAGGUUGGGCCAUUUCUAGUCACUGCAGAGGCAGGAAGCUGUG